This is a non-coding RNA of Pelobates cultripes (western spadefoot toad), 266 nucleotides long. The record is from the annotation of a GenBank genome assembly. Lineage: Eukaryota; Metazoa; Chordata; Amphibia; Anura; Pelobatidae.
GCAGUGGUACAGGAAGAAGUCUGCAUCCUUCAAGAAAAACAUGAUUUUCAUGCAGGACAAUGCUCCAUCACACGCGUCCAAGUACUCCACAGCGUGGCUGGCAAGAAAGGGUAUAAAAGAAGAAAAUCUAAUGACAUGGCCUCCUUGUUCACCUGAUCUGAACCCCAUGUGGUCCAUCAUCAAAUGUGAGAUUUACAAGGAGGGAAAACAGUACACCUCUCUGAACAGUGUCUGGGAGGCUGUGGUUGCUGCUGCACGCAAUGUUG